GAAUGCUCGGGGUUUUGCAGUGUUGCAUUCACCUCCUUAUUCAUUCUCGCCAUGUUGGGGCUUUGGACCAAGGUCCAGGUUAAUAGGCAACCCCACUAUUUCUGUUACAGUGCAGGAAGUUAUCUGACUUUUCCAGCUAAACAACACUGAGAGAAGGAGGAAACAUUUUUUCAGAGCAAGCAGGAGGUGCCGUGCAGCACAAUGUGACCCAGAGGCCACCAGUCUGUGGACUAAUAGACCACUGAUGCAUACAAGGUGUGAACACAGAGCACAAUGGUGAGAGAUAUCAGUUGGAAAGUACAGUAGGUGCUGCUGUCCUACAUAAAAAAAACAGAACUGGAACUAAGGAGGCAUUUCCAGUGUGCAAGAGGAGGCAAAGGCACUGGGGACUUUCGGCUUAGAUUCAGCAAGAUGCGUCUUAUACUUCAUGUAGAACUUUGACUUCAGUAAGACAACCUCCGUGCUUCACACUGGACAUAUAAGGACCUCUCUGCAGGCACUGGAGCUACAGUUGUACAAACUCAGAAUUUCAGUAUGAAGGCCAGAGGUAAAAAUUUAGGAUUAAGAGAAGGUAGCUAUGUGCUCUGUUGCAGAAGAAGUAGGCAUUACUGUAGACAAUAAUCCAAUAGCCCACAUUUCUGUAACAAACUCUGAUCUCAUGUGCACUUCAGAGCAUCUUUCAAGAGUGCAAACAGUUUUUGAAACUAGAUUUCACUGCUCCCUGUGAGGAGGAAAGCUUAUGGCCAUGACCUCACAAAUUAUAAAUAGAUUUCAAUGGAAGCAGAGGGCUAAGCAUAGAGUUGCCAUCCAAGGUGUAAUUUAAACUUUUGCUGAUGCUGACAGAGGCUGCUUCCACUGGGACUUCUUCGGGUGGCACCAAUUUGUUCAUCCAUAUGGGAACAGCAGGGAAGGAGAGGAAUGCUUCACUGUAACUUAUACAAGGCAAAAUGGAAAGAUGUUUGAGUGCCAUCAUGGGGGUGAAUUUAUUAUAUAUAUAUACACUUAAAAUUUACCUCUUUGUGAAACUGAUGUCAGUGUCAGCUCUUUCAGAUAUGGAGGAAAUUUACACAAAGAAGAUGCUUCCUUCUAUCACAAGUUCACUCUCCAUUCUGGCAACACUGCUUUCACUUGGUGAAAGUAGAUCAGAAUUCACCAUGUUAAUAAAAAAUAUAUUAGAAUCUGAUCCACUAUCUGCACCGAAGAAGCCAACAGGAAUAGCUUGUGUGACAGCAGAUUCUUAAUUAGGCCUCUCAUUAAUUGCUGUAGUUUUGCUGGGGAGCACAAAAUCACAUCACAAAGUCCUCUAGAUAACAAAGCCUUGCAACUCUGUCUGAAGUAGGAAAGGUGAGGUUACAGGAGGACAUGAAGCCAAAGGAGGUCGUGGAAUGAGUCAUUCUCCGUCUCAGAUCUGUGAUAGCGGGGAGAACAGAAAACGUGUGUGAUAUCCGCCAGCUGGAUUCCAUCUGUCUUUUCUCUGCGGAGAUGGAGUUUCAAAGGCUACAUCCUAUCUGCUGUCACACCCUCUCCCGACAUGAGAAGCUAAGUGUAAAGUUUGGCCAAAGUGAUGGAAAAAACAAUAUCUCUUUUGUACAUCACAACUAUUUCCCUACCUACACAAAAGUGGCAUUCUUCUUGUUCUGGCAUGCAUGAUGUACUGUUGCACUGUAUCACAACUUUCCUAUUAAAUAAAAGGAGCCUGGCCAAAGGGAUUUCAGAGAAAGUAAGCUUUUUUUAGUUUGUUUGUUCAUUUUUAAGACUGUGGAUCUGUGUGAGCGUGCUGGUUUGUCUACCAGAGCCAGUGCAGGGAAAUUAUGAUUGACAGGUAUAAAAAACACAGUUUGAUUACAAUAGAGGAUAUGGAUCCAUAGCAUUUCUGAGAGGGGAAAAAAAAAACACCUACCUGAAUAAAAGCCCAAUUUUGUU
Molecule: long non-coding RNA, 1923 nt
Organism: Gallus gallus (chicken)
Lineage: Eukaryota; Metazoa; Chordata; Aves; Galliformes; Phasianidae
Source: Ensembl